RNAcentral lists this long non-coding RNA (235 nucleotides) under Vigna radiata. Its description in RNAcentral is "long non-coding RNA (VRAD_LNC018520)". The record is from RNAcentral. Lineage: Eukaryota; Viridiplantae; Streptophyta; Magnoliopsida; Fabales; Fabaceae.
CAAAUAUGUAUCCUACUGACCCUAAAACUAAAUUUUGACAGUGAAGUAAUAGUUGGAGAAACUGUGUAGUAUGAUGAAAAUUGAAAAUGAGCAGAAAAAUGAGAAACCCAUAAAGAGUAAUGAAUCAAGUCUGAACCUGGAAAAGUUAAUGGACAUGGUUGCAACAUGUUACUAGGUAAUCGUUACAUACUCUCCUACACUAACUUUGACUACUCCUUCAAUUUCUCAUCAAGUU